RNAcentral lists this ribosomal RNA (1262 nucleotides) under metagenome. RNAcentral's name for it is "bacterial SSU rRNA". It matches the Rfam family "Bacterial small subunit ribosomal RNA", at positions 243 to 1520 of the family's 1533-position model. The record is from RNAcentral.
AGCUAGUUGGUGGGGUAAUGGCCCACCAAGGCGACGAUCAGUAGCUGGUCUGAGAGGAUGAUCAGCCACACUGGGACUGAGACACGGCCCAGACUCCUACGGGAGGCAGCAGUGGGGAAUUUUCCGCAAUGGGCGAAAGCCUGACGGAGCAACGCCGCGUGAGGGAUGAAGGCCUCUGGGCUGUAAACCUCUUUUCUCAAGGAAGAAGACCUGACGGUACUUGAGGAAUAAGCCACGGCUAAUUCCGUGCCAGCAGCCGCGGUAAUACGGGAGUGGCAAGCGUUAUCCGGAAUUAUUGGGCGUAAAGCGUCCGCAGGCGGCCUUGUAAGUCUGUUGUUAAAGCGUGGAGCUUAACUCCAUUUAAGCAAUGGAAACUACAAGGCUGGAGUGUGGUAGGGGCAGAGGGAAUUCCCGGUGUAGCGGUGAAAUGCGUAGAUAUCGGGAAGAACACCAGUGGCGAAGGCGCUCUGCUGGGCCAUAACUGACGCUCAUGGACGAAAGCCAGGGGAGCGAAAGGGAUUAGAUACCCCUGUAGUCCUGGCCGUAAACGAUGAACACUAGGUGUCGGGGGAAUCGACCCCCUCGGUGUCGUAGCCAACGCGUUAAGUGUUCCGCCUGGGGAGUACGCACGCAAGUGUGAAACUCAAAGGAAUUGACGGGGGCCCGCACAAGCGGUGGAGUAUGUGGUUUAAUUCGAUGCAACGCGAAGAACCUUACCAGGGUUUGACAUCCUGCGAACCCCUGAGAAAUCGGGGGGUGCCUUCGGGUGCGCAGAGACAGGUGGUGCAUGGCUGUCGUCAGCUCGUGUCGUGAGAUGUUGGGUUAAGUCCCGCAACGAGCGCAACCCACGUCUUUAGUUGCCAGCAUUCAGUUGGGCACUCUAGAGAGACCGCCGGUGAUAAACCGGAGGAAGGUGUGGAUGACGUCAAGUCAUCAUGCCCCUUACAUCCUGGGCUACACACGUACUACAAUGCUACGGACAAAGGGCAGCAAGCUCGCGAGAGUUAGCAAAUCCCAUAAACCGUGGCUCAGUUCAGAUCGUAGGCUGCAACUCGCCUACGUGAAGGAGGAAUCGCUAGUAAUCGCAGGUCAGCAUACUGCGGUGAAUGCGCUCCCGGGCCUUGUACACACCGCCCGUCACACCAUGGAAGUUGGCCAUGCCCGAAGUCGUUACUCCAACCCUUGUGGAGGAGGACGCCGAAGGUGGGGCUGAUGACUGGGGUGAAGUCGGAACAAGGUAGCCGUACCGGAAGGUGCGGCUG